Vitis riparia (riverbank grape) is the source of this 267-nucleotide long non-coding RNA. RefSeq lists it as uncharacterized. NCBI's taxonomy places the organism in Eukaryota, Viridiplantae, Streptophyta, Magnoliopsida, Vitales, Vitaceae. The record is from RefSeq and is a predicted model, not a curated record. The transcript is spliced from 2 exons.
AAAUUGGCCUCCAGACGAGAGAAUCCCUAAAAAAAGCCCUAUUUUUUCCUCUGCCAUUCUCAAUCCUCGCAGAUUUUGCAUCCUGCGUGGGCUGGUAGGAAAUAUCGGGACCUUUCACAGGGACGAUGAACAAUGGAGGGGCAUUUUCGGUAUGAAAUAACACCUCAGACCAGAAUGCAUGUUUCCUUUAAUAUUUUUCCAAACAGUGGGCAUAUCUUGCAUUUGGGUUCCGAAAAUGUUAUUAUUCCCAAAUUGCCCAUCAAAACA